Molecule: transfer RNA, 71 nt
Filed under: Pelochelys cantorii (Cantor's giant softshell turtle)
Lineage: Eukaryota; Metazoa; Chordata; Testudines; Trionychidae
Description: tRNA-Gln
Rfam family: tRNA
About the family: Transfer RNA (tRNA) molecules are approximately 80 nucleotides in length. Their secondary structure includes four short double-helical elements and three loops (D, anti-codon, and T loops).
Source: RNAcentral
UAGGAUUUAGUAUAAUGGAAGUAUGAAGAGUUUUGAUCUCUUUGGUGUAGGUUCGAGUCCUAUUUUUCUAA